This 497-nucleotide ribosomal RNA is filed under the name uncultured bacterium. RNAcentral describes it as "partial 16S ribosomal RNA". It matches the Rfam family "Bacterial small subunit ribosomal RNA", at positions 28 to 507 of the family's 1533-position model. The record is from RNAcentral.
GAUGAACGCUGGCGGCGUGCCUAAUACAUGCAAGUCGAGCGAACAGACGAGGAGCUUGCUCCUCUGACGUUAGCGGCGGACGGGUGAGUAACACGUGGAUAACCUACCUAUAAGACUGGGAUAACUUCGGGAAACCGGAGCUAAUACCGGAUAAUAUAUUGAACCGCAUGGUUCAAUAGUGAAAGACGGUUUUGCUGUUACUUAUAGAUGGAUCCGCGCUGGAUUAGCUAGUUGGUAAGGUAACGGCUUACCAAGGCGACGAUGCGUAGCCGGCCUGAGAGGGUGAUCAGCCACACUGGAACUGAGACACGGUCCAGACUCCUACGGGAGGCAGCAGUAGGGAAUCUUCGGCAAUGGGCGCAAGCCUGACGGAGCAACGCCGCGUGAGUGAUGAAGGUCUUCGGAUCGUAAAACUCUGUUAUUAGGAAAGAAAAACUGUGUAAGUAACCAUGCACGUCUUGACGGUACCUAAUGAAAAAGCCACGGCUAACUACGUG